RNAcentral lists this long non-coding RNA (210 nucleotides) under Arachis ipaensis. RNAcentral describes it as "long non-coding RNA (AIPA_LNC000804)". Lineage: Eukaryota; Viridiplantae; Streptophyta; Magnoliopsida; Fabales; Fabaceae. The record is from RNAcentral.
UUUAUGUUCCAUUAUUUCAAAUAAUAAUAUAGUCUAAGGGCGUUAGAGAUCAGAUAUGAAAACUAACGUUUUAAACAGAUUUUCAAUAAUGUGUUGAUUAAAUUAAAAUUCUAGCAGUAAAGAUUAAAAUGUAGCAUUUUAGAAGGGACAAUUCACCUUAAUUUUUAAGGUGGCGUUGUCGUUUACCAGCAAUGAAAUUGCCUUCUUAUG